Molecule: non-coding RNA, 244 nt
Organism: Pelobates cultripes (western spadefoot toad)
Lineage: Eukaryota; Metazoa; Chordata; Amphibia; Anura; Pelobatidae
Source: the annotation of a GenBank genome assembly
GUUUAUGGUAUCGUGUAUGAUACAUAUGAAUGUGGGCUGUGUAUGAGGGCUGCUUGUGGACUUGUGUGUGAAUGGAUUUGUCACAUUGUGUGUUUGGUAGUGUGUGUAUGUGUGGGGCUGUUUGGGGUAUUGCACGUGAGAGGCUGCGUGCGUGGUUGUGUGCAUGUAUGUGGAUUGUUAGUGGUGUUGCGUUUGUGGGGAUUGUCAAGGACAGGAGCUGCGAUAGCUGUCGAGGGCUGCUUUA